CUGGUGUCAGCCGCCGCGGUAAUACCAGCACCCCGAGUGGUCGGGACGUUUAUUGGGCCUAAAGCAUCCGUAGCCGGUUCCACAAGUCUUCCGUUAAAUCCACCUGCUUAACAGAUGGGCUGCGGAAGAUACUAUAGAGCUAGGAGGCGGGAGAGGCAAGCGGUACUCGAUGGGUAGGGGUAAAAUCCGUUGAUCCAUUGAAGACCACCAGUGGCGAAGGCGGCUUGCCAGAACGCGCUCGACGGUGAGGGAUGAAAGCUGGGGGAGCAAACCGGAUUAGAUACCCGGGUAGUCCCAGCUGUAAACGAUGCAGACUCGGUGAUGAGUUGGCUUAUUGCUAACUCAGUGCCGCAGGGAAGCCGUUAAGUUUGCCGCCUGGGGAGUACGGUCGCAAGACUGAAACUUAAAG
RNAcentral lists this ribosomal RNA (409 nucleotides) under uncultured Nitrososphaerota archaeon. RNAcentral's name for it is "bacterial SSU rRNA". It matches the Rfam family "Archaeal small subunit ribosomal RNA", at positions 452 to 861 of the family's 1478-position model. The record is from RNAcentral. Lineage: Archaea; Thermoproteati; Nitrososphaerota.